Hyla sarda is the source of this 264-nucleotide long non-coding RNA. RefSeq lists it as uncharacterized. The transcript is spliced from 3 exons. The record is from RefSeq and is a predicted model, not a curated record. NCBI's taxonomy places the organism in Eukaryota, Metazoa, Chordata, Amphibia, Anura, Hylidae.
CAAUACGGAAGAGAACGCUGAGAUGACGGAUAUACAUGUGAAGAGAAUGAGGAUCUGCUUACAAGCUGAGGAAUCAAUGAUGAAGACCUGGUGCUCGGACAAGAUGAGAAAGAGAAGACAACAGAGAAGAUGUCACUCAGGUUCUCGCAUAGAAAAAAGUGGAUCCUGUUUCUUUUUGUUGCCAUAACUGUGGUGUUACCAUCUGGAUCGCACUCCUAAACAGGACAAGAAAAAGGAACCAACAUACUUUGUGUCUUCGUCCUU